Molecule: long non-coding RNA, 509 nt
Organism: Seriola aureovittata
Lineage: Eukaryota; Metazoa; Chordata; Actinopteri; Carangiformes; Carangidae
Exons: 4
Source: RefSeq, a predicted model, not a curated record
CAACACCAGCUGCAGCAGCAGCAGCCUGAUCAUGUGAUUAGCAUUCAGUCUGUACAAGAGGAGAAGAGGGACAAACAGCACGAAACGCACACGAACUGCGCCCCAUCACAACACUGCAUCAAAAUAAAGCUCACUGAACAGGAGAGGAUCCCAGGAGCAGGAAACUGUGGGAGCCAGGACGCCAAUCACUGGCAUAUAUUUUGUCCGGACCAAUGAUGAUCCUUGCAAAUUAGUUUAUUGACUCUGCUGGCAUCUCUGGCACAGAUGCUGCUCCCCAGGAAGACCACAGUACAGUAGAUGGCACUCCCUACUACAGACUGAAGUGGAGCAUCUCUACCAUUACAUCUUCAUCUCUAACUCACGUUUCAUGAAUAAUUUGCAUACUGAUCAGGCCCGUGGACAGCUGCUCCCAAGACUGUGAUGGAAUAAGCCCAAUUAAAGUGAGAAGAGGACGCCUGACACUCUCUGUCUGCUGCUGAAGUGCAUUAAUCAUUCUAGAUGAGGCUAAU